AUUGAACGCUGGCGGCAUGCUUUACACAUGCAAGUCGAACGGCAGCGCGGGCUUCGGCCUGGCGGCGAGUGGCGAACGGGUGAGUAAUUCAUCGGAACGUGCCCAGUAGUGGGGGAGAGCCCGGCGAAAGCCGGAUUAAUACCGCAUACGACCUGAGGGUGAAAGCGGGGGACCGAGAGGCCACGCGCCAUUGGGGCGGCCGAUGGUGGAUUAGCUAGUUGGUGGGGUAAAGGCUUACCAAGGCGACGAUCCGUAGCUGGUCUGAGAGGACGACCAGCCACAACGGGACUGAGACACGGCCCAAACCCCUACGGGAGGCAGCAGUAGGGAAUUUUCGGCAAUGGGCGAAAGUCCGACCGCGCCACGCCGCGUGGGGGAAGAAGGUCUUCGGAUUGGAAAACUCUUUUGGUAGGGAAGAACGUUGGUGGGAGUAAAAACCGGAGCAAGUGACGGUAACGAAACAGAAAGGGCCGGCUAACUACGUG
Molecule: ribosomal RNA, 485 nt
Filed under: uncultured bacterium
Lineage: Bacteria
Description: partial 16S ribosomal RNA
Rfam family: Bacterial small subunit ribosomal RNA
Source: RNAcentral